UUCCUGCAACAAACAUCAUG
This 20-nucleotide unclassified non-coding RNA is filed under the name Mus musculus (house mouse). RNAcentral describes it as "oocyte_clustered_small_RNA8545". Lineage: Eukaryota; Metazoa; Chordata; Mammalia; Rodentia; Muridae. The record is from RNAcentral.